This 771-nucleotide long non-coding RNA is filed under the name Elaeis guineensis (African oil palm). RNAcentral's name for it is "long non-coding RNA (EGUI_LNC006551)". Lineage: Eukaryota; Viridiplantae; Streptophyta; Magnoliopsida; Arecales; Arecaceae. The record is from RNAcentral.
CCUUAUUUUCUUGAUUUUUUCCGGUCCGCUGAUUUUCUUUUCUUUUUUUUAAAAAAAAAGAUGAUUUAGGAUUUCUUUUUUGUUAUGCUUAUUAAUUUUUUAAAAUUUUAUAUUACUUAAUUGGCCAACGCAAGGAAGCCUAACUUGCCUCGGCGGGUAACUGGCUUUUGCCGGCGGCGGGGAAUGGGCUUCACGCGGGAAUACGUGGAGGGGGAUUUUUGGGUGGAGGUGGGAAGGCUUCGCGCAACCGUCGGGAUCGGACGCGUAAAACCACUCCAUCCUCUUCCUCUAUUCUCAAGAGGAGAAUUCGGAUCCUUGACCGGGUUAUCCACCCCCAACGCCCAUCGUGCCAGGCGUCCCUGUAGCUUCCUCUCUCACUCUCCCAAAUAGACAUCAUUAACACAUAUUUCUUACACAAGAGCGGCAAAGGAGAGCUCUAAUCUCGGAAUCACGCUGCUGCAUGAGGUCUAUCAAACCAGCACAGCACACGUCUGGGGUUCCGCCGAUGGUGCUCUUGUAACAUUUUUUAGAUCUCAGCCCUUCAUUUUGAAUUUUGAAAGUGGAGAACGGUAAUCUUGACGCUAUCCGGUCACCUCUUACGCUACUCGGUUUAUGACCUUGGGCAGCAAUUAAAGUGGCGUAGCCGAAGAUGGUGCAGUUACAACUUGGGUGUGUCUGGUGGGUUCCGGGUUAAACAUGGGAUUCAAUACAUGGUGGGCGACGGUGGAGGGGAGCGGCACAAGAUAUCACGGGGGAAGAAGAAAAUGAGCG